CCUCGGGGGCGCUGCCCUGGGUCUUCAGGGUUGAGGAGCAGACAUGGUUAACGCUCUCUCCCUUCCUCCCUCCAUUUAUUUCUGUGCACCCUUCCCCUCUGCAGGUGGGGAGGGGAGACCCCGGCCCUGGACAGCGGUGCCGUGGCUGAGAGCCGGGGGCUGCCCAGGCCCAGCCUGAUGAUGUCCGCUGGAGCCUUGGGUCUAGAAGGAGCCCCCACUGGGCCUGGGGGGAGGGGUCUCUGGAAAGGUGGGUGUCCCACACCCCACACAGUCUCACCAGGACGGGCUGGGCCUCUUGCCCCUCACUGGUGUGGAGCCAGCCAGCCUGGCGUCUGGGAUGAUCCCAGCCACGGUGAAAGCUUUGAGGGACCCCUGGACUGGGAGGGGGGCUUGUGGCCUGAAGGGCAGCUUGUCUCUGCCGAGGCGGGAGGCUGGUCCCACCCAACCACAGGCUGGGCUGAAGCCCUCUCUGCCCCACCCCCUGCCCUAGGCCCCAGUGCCCCUCCCCUGAGUCCCUGACCCAGGGCAGAUCAAUGUGGCAGCGGGGUACCGGAGAGAAGGACUCACCCACACGCCCAGAGCCCCCAAGUCAUCUGUUUAACAGGCGUCCUGCACCAAGGAGUGAGUUGGAGCCCCCGCCCCCAGGCUUGCCCGAGUGAGCCCGGUGCAGGAGGGCCAGAGGGCAGACCCAGUGGGGUGUGGGAAGGCAGGUGUGGGGGGGCAUGUGUGAGCUGAGAGCAGUGCCUCAGGUGGGGUCCCCAGGAGUCCGGCAGGGAGGGAGUGAGGAGCCGAGGAGGAGGUGGCCCCCACAGCUGGCCCAGAGAACGGGCAGGGACGAGUUGGGCCAGGGGCUGGGGGUGGGCACAUUGGGGGGUGGGCGCGAGGGAGGCCCGGCAGGCCCUGGCAGUGCUGGAGGGGCUGGUGUGCGUGGGUGGUGGCCUGCACACAGCGAGCAGACCAGGCGCGCAGCAUCAGGCCAGGGCCAGGGAAUAGGAGGGGACGGCCCGUCCUCAGCUGUGGGGACCUCGCCCUUGGGCCCUCCAGGGAUGGUCACGGCCAUGACUUUGCGCAGUGAAUAGUCACUUCAUGGGGGAGCAGAGGCCGGCCCCCUCACCACCCUGGGGACGCUUCCCAGGGGGUCAGCCUGGACUGACAAGCCUUCUGGGAACAAGCGCAGGUGGACAGAGCCGGGGUGGUCCAGAAGGGCCAGUGCAGAGACAGGAGGACCGGGCCCGCUCUGCACUGUGGGUAUUCCAGGGGUCACAGUUGUCGCCAGGGGGACUGGGGAGGGGGCCCGCACUGGCCAGGCAGAAUCCAGUAGUGGAGAGUAUGGGAUGAUGAUGUUCCCUGUCACCCUGGGAAAGGGCCACAGGUUGCAGGGAGGCUGUGAGGACUGAGUGGUCAGAGGAGUCAGCUCCCACGGGGUGUACCCAGGUCUGCUGUGUGCCAACCAGGGUGCUGGCUGGAGGGAAUGGGCACUCAGGGAUGACCACACAAGUGGCCCACCCCUUUACGGGAAGUCUUCCUUCAAGAAAACAGGAGCCUCACCUCUCAGGACCCGCCCGCCUCCCUCUUGGAAAUAAGUAGUGACAAAAUGUGUUGGGGACAUGGUGGCUCAGUGCAGGGCGGAGGGACUCAGGCCCCAGCACCUUGUCCCAGGCAGCUGAGGGGAGCUCACUGACCAGGAGCCUUUCCCGAGGUCUGAGGCUCCGUCCCAGAAGGUGCUGCGGUCACAGGGCUGGGGAGGCAGUCUUGAAAAGGGCAGACUGUUACAACGGCCAUGGCCACAGUGGAAGGCUGGGGUGGGCUCCGCCGGAGGCCUGGAGGACACGCCGCGCAGCCAGGCCACCAGGAGCACACUAGGAGUGGCACCAGCAUCGUGUGGAGGCCUGCGGAGGCCCCUGGCAGGGUCUGCUGACGGUGGGAGAGGCUGUCACGGAACGGGCAGUGACAGGGAUGGUGGCCCCUGGCCACCGGGGGCCAGGUGGACACAGCAGGAGUGGGGCCGGGCCAAGGGCCUGAGGUGCCGAGGUGGUGGUGAACAGGACACAGCGUUCUCGGAGACUGGACAAGCGUCCAAAGAGAGGAAAUCAAGGAUGCAUGACCAGGAGGUCCCAAUUAGAAGUCGUGGUCCUUUGCCCAGUUUCCAGGCUUCAGGCAGAGUCCAGACCCAGAACCCAGGGGGUAAGAGGGGGCCAGGUCCUCAGGAAGCAAACUGUAAGUCUGCACUGUGGGGAUGGUGCCAGGCCCUCCCCAUGACCCUGUGACUGAACGUAGGGGAGGGGACAUGCCCGGGCAUGUGAGGACUGCUGGACACGGGGUUCCAGUUGACGCUGGUAACCUGAGGCCCAAAGCAUGACUGCAGCUCCCCGAUUGGAGUGGGGGUCCCACAAAUGUGAUUCCAGCCAGGGCCUGAUCCCUGACUUUGGGUCUGCACACCCAGCCAGCAGUCCGUUCUCAAAGCCCAGAGUGGACAAGUGGAAUGGACAUACUGGAUGGUUGAUAUCACGUCCUUGGCCACCGGCAUGGACAAGGCCAGCGGAAGUGUCUGUAACUGCCCCCAACCGAGACGGUGGCGAGCAGUGUGCCCUCCUGGGCCCUGCUUUACAGGUGAAGACACUGAGGCAGGGGCGCUCCGCCGUUGGCUCCAGACCUACGCGCCUUGGGGAAGGGGCCAGGCAGUCCUCUGAGGGGUGACCGCUGAGUGGGACCCCGGAGGCGGGACGGAGCCAGAGCCAGCCCCCGGGUGCCCUAGCAGGACAGCAGCACGAAGGCCCCGAGGAAGGACCACACUUGGAACGUUCCAGGAACCAGGAAUUCAGGGGUGCUUGGCCUUGUCCCCCACCACAGAGACGGAGGCAAAGCCAGGGAGGCCAGCUGAGGCCCGCGGGGGUCCAGGGAGAAGCCAACACGAGACUGGGCCGGGGUGGGAUCCACCUGCCAGCAUGUGGUCCCCUGCCCAGCGAGGACCCGGAGUCCUGCCUGCAGGAGUUCCCUUGCAGUGCCAUAGAUGCAGCAAGGGGACGCGUGAGCGCUGAGGUCCUUGGUGCCAGGCGGCCGCCCCCAGGGUGACAGCCGCCUGGACGGGGGGGGGGGGGAGGUGCGGGGUGCUCCAGGAGGCAGGUGCUCACUUGGGGUCAGCUGAGCCCGGGGAGCUGGCCGCUCCCGCCGGCGAGAACACUCUCGGGGGCCUCGGAGGGGCCUCUGCAUGAAGCCACAGCCUGCAUUUUUCUCAACUUCAUUCUUGGGUGAGAAACUGGCCCCAGGGGCUUACGAUGGCCUCUCUUCUCCAACUGCAGCCCCGAAGGCAGGAGGGCCGUGUCCGGCCCUGGGGGUCCUGCCUCCACCACACCCACUCUCCCAGCCAAG
Zalophus californianus (California sea lion) is the source of this 3369-nucleotide long non-coding RNA. RefSeq lists it as uncharacterized. The transcript is spliced from 3 exons. The record is from RefSeq and is a predicted model, not a curated record. Lineage: Eukaryota; Metazoa; Chordata; Mammalia; Carnivora; Otariidae.